This 495-nucleotide ribosomal RNA is filed under the name uncultured bacterium. RNAcentral describes it as "partial 16S ribosomal RNA". It matches the Rfam family "Bacterial small subunit ribosomal RNA", at positions 28 to 507 of the family's 1533-position model. The record is from RNAcentral.
GACGAACGCUGGCGGCGUGCCUAAUACAUGCAAGUAGAGCGCUGAAGGAGGAGCUUGCUUCUCUGGAUGAGUUGCGAACGGGUGAGUAACGCGUAGGUAACCUGCCUGGUAGCGGGGGAUAACUAUUGGAAACGAUAGCUAAUACCGCAUAAUAGUAGAUGUUGCAUGACAUUUGCUUAAAAGGUGCAAUUGCAUCACUACCAGAUGGACCUGCGUUGUAUUAGCUAGUUGGUGGGGUAACGGCUCACCAAGGCGACGAUACAUAGCCGACCUGAGAGGGUGAUCGGCCACACUGGGACUGAGACACGGCCCAGACUCCUACGGGAGGCAGCAGUAGGGAAUCUUCGGCAAUGGACGGAAGUCUGACCGAGCAACGCCGCGUGAGUGAAGAAGGUUUUCGGAUCGUAAAGCUCUGUUGUAAGAGAAGAACGAGUGUGAGAGUGGAAAGUUCACACUGUGACGGUAUCUUACCAGAAAGGGACGGCUAACUACGUG